Cavia porcellus (domestic guinea pig) is the source of this 9731-nucleotide long non-coding RNA. RefSeq lists it as uncharacterized. The transcript is spliced from 2 exons. Lineage: Eukaryota; Metazoa; Chordata; Mammalia; Rodentia; Caviidae. The record is from RefSeq and is a predicted model, not a curated record.
AAGAAAGCCAUUAUCAGUAGCAAUAAGAAGUGAAACAUUUGUGUAUAAUUAUGCAUUUGGGGAUAAUUUUAUAAACCAGAAGGCUGGGGUUUUUUUUAUAAUUCUGUACCUUCUAAAGAAUCUUGCAUAAAUAAUAGAUUUCCUGCCUCAUUCUGCUAUGUAAAAUGAAAAUUCUUCACUAAUACCAUCUAAAUAUGUAUUGAUAGCCCUCAUCUUGCAUUUUUUACCUUUUUGUAAUAACUCAGGUCUCUGCAAGGUUAAGCAGGUGUAUCUAGGAGUGAAGUAACACGGAACUUUGUCUUCCUUAUUAUUUCUCAUUCUAGAUGUAUAAACAUUUAUCAAUUUUUCUCUCUGGGAAACAUUAUAUCUUCCAAAUAUUUCCAAUAAAUUUAAUAGUGAUCCACAGGACGUCCAUUGGUCAUCAGAAAGAGGUCCAUCAGUUGUGCAGAUGAGGGGAGGAUGAAGUAUAGUUAUAUAUCUAGAAGAGUAAGGGGGAGUUUCUUUCCAUCUAAAUUGCAAAAUGCCUUUAAAGCACAUCCAAAUGUACAUCUCUGCUAAGCUCUGGAGCUAAGAUACUGCUCCGAAAGUUUGCAGUGGAAAUACUGAUGCUUGAGUAGGUGCUUCUCAUUUCGCUCACUGAUGUGCAAAUAACAUUAAGUCCUGCCUUAACCCACAGCUGUGAAAAGCUGUGUGGUGCAGUGUGUUAUUUCUCACAUCGAGUUUAUACAGACCUCUGGAGACAUUUAUGGUUGCAGGUUCUAGGAAACCAGAUGAUAAAUAUUGGGGGGGGGGCGGAUCUUUUGGACAAGCUGUUAUAAGUAGUUGAAGCUCAUGCGUAAAGUACUGCACUAAACUUGUACAAUUGCAAAGAUAAUUUUAAAAUGAAAAGAUUUUAUUCAGCAGGAUAUGCAGAGUUGCAGUUUCCUGCACCAUCCCAGGUAGGUCAUUUCUGCCACACCAGAGGCUGCCUUGGUGAGGGACGCUGAGAAAGAGGGCAGGAGAGAAGUAAUACCAAGCUUCUGGCUACCCACCUUUCUAGCACUGCAAAACCUAUUCAAGUCCUGCACAAAAAUCUCUGUUUUAAAUGGUCAAAAUAAUGCCACUGAGCCAAUGUUGCAGAGACUGUCUUUAAAGAUUAAAUAUGAUAAUGUAGAUAAAAUCUCUUUGUCAACUGGGAAAGAAGGAAAAAUGACGUAGGAUUUUUUCACUUACUUAUCCUUUUAUUUACCUGUGUUGAACACUUGCCGUGUGGUGUGUUGCCAUUAGGAAUGAUUCUUCUUUUGGAGAAGUAUACAGGCUAAAGAUAUAGAAAUUACUUUACUGAUUGCAAUGAGUCCAUAUCUAUGAUACAUAUUUGUGUGGAGUUCAUCAAAGCCCUUUGAAGAAAUACCAGAACUCAAACCACAGGAGACAGCUCAAGAAGGGAAUUUCUGGACAGAGACCUAGAGUUUUCAAAUUUUCUUCAUUCAAUAUAUAUGGCUUUGGUAAUUGAUGGAAAAUUAAAAACAGAUGUGGGAGCCCAGCAAUAUGGGAGUGACAUCAAACAGGUAAUUAAAGACAGUCCCCAACCUGAAGAAAUGGAGAAUGAUAUCCGGCACUAGGUAAGCAUCACAAACAGCCUCGAAGGUGAGCUGAUUUCCACCUUACUGUGCUUCCUGCAGGUCCCCACUGCCAUUUACCUUAAUGCCUCUGUCACCAGGAAACACACCCUGCAACUCUCACAGUGAGAAGCUCACCAGCCAAUAGGCGUGCACACCCACACCCUUCUGCACUUCCUUUCUCUUAAAGUGACAGGAAGUCUUUAAUGCCAUUAAUAUGGGUGACCACAUCCAGCAUGCCUCCGAGCAUUUAUGCACAGCUGCGGAUAGUUUUGCCUGUGCCCUUUUCUGGCACACCAUAGGUUUUGGCACUGGCUAGUGUAUUGGAAAGUCUAACGUGGUUCUAGAAGAGUCCUUGUUGAAUAAUUCCCAUUUUCCUCUCCAUCUUCCUUCACCCCUACUUCCCUUUCAAUAAAACACUUAACAGAGAGAAGUUUAUUCCCAGCUCAGUUCUGAGAUAUGAAUAGUAAAAGGACAGCAGAUGAACCCUUGAUUAAAUUUCGGUAAUGUUCCUCUGAGUGAUUUAUCAGUGCCAUUACCCAGGCAACUGAAAAUUUCUUUCCCAAAAUCAAUCCUCCUGAAUUCCAUGGGCUUUCCCCCUUCUACUCCUCUGGUAACCCCUGUUAUCUAAAAUCCUAAUUUCAUAUCCACUGUGAUACAGAGCAUGAGAGUGGCUCACUUAUAUUUAUCUUAAAUUCAGUUUAAAGAAAUAAUGACAGGUACAAUAUAUAGCUCACUCUAGUUUUUAUGAAUUUUUUUUUUUUUUGCUUGCUUUCUUCUGCUCCUAGCUCCUUGCAAUCUGUGGUUGUUGUUUUGGAUGGUUUAUUUUGUCACAUCCAAUAGCAAAUUUAUUUUUCUUCUUUAGCCUUAUAUUAGGCCCUGGAAAGGCAAAAUCAUUUUGUUGAAGCUAUAGAUUUACCUUUUUAGUUUCAGCUUAGGUAAGUUGCACCUUAUACUCACCUCUUCUGUUCGGUGAACAAAUUUUCUCUGACCCAGCUUCAGAUUUUCUUUGCCAGACCACUCAUCUUCAAUUUUGUCACUUAGUGCAGCAUUCAACUGGAAAAUGUCACUCGCAUGAGUUCUACAAGUUCUGGAGCUCUUAAAGGAGUUCAGACAGGAGCACCAGGAGUCCUAUUAGCCUAGGACGGUGCAGCAUAAACAGGAUCCUGACUCUGGAUCAGACAGACUUGUGGUCAAAUUCUUUCACUGCCACAUUUUACAAGGCUGUGUGAUCUUUACAAAAUUAGCUGCAGUGGUACCGCAGUUCCUCAAAUUAAUUCUUUCUGUGAUUUUGCCUGCAACCAAAUAGAACAUGAGUUUCUCUAAAUAAAAGUAGGAUUAGAAUCACUUGACAAACUGUUUUGAGGGGUUAAGGACGUAAUGUGUACACAGUUCCCAGUCCGAGAACUUGCCAUAAUGAGAGGUAGUUGACUUCUUUCCCUCAUACCAUCCACUUGAGAGUGACUAACUGCUCAUCUGCUAGGGUUAAACCAUAGUCUUAGCACAUCCGUAACCUAACUUUAAAGGAACAAGCCCAAAAUUAAACAGCACUGAGACAGAAAUAUGGUCCUGCCUAAAAACUUAGACAAGGGUUAUGAAGGGGAGGCCAAACAUUCCAAUAUACUAACAUUUCUUGAGAGUGAGCCAAGGCCAUAUAAAGGCAGAUCUAAGCACCCAACUGAUCCUAAAAUUAACCUGCUUUUCUGCGAUACCGAAGAACCCAACUUUUACCCCCAACUCAGUCAAGACUCCUAGAAUCCUAGGAGCCUAGAACUAAGCCUCAUAUGAAAUUAUGUAUGUGGGGAGAGGGUGAAUAAAAGAUAGCUAUUGAAUUUCCAGGAAGAGAAAACAAUGAUUGUGUUGCUGCCACCUUCCUAUCCUGUCUUGCACAUCCAGUGAAAUCAUUAACCUCUCAUAGAGACACAAAUAUUGCUAACAAGAGAAUACUAUUCCUCCUGACGUCAGAGACUGGUGUAAGACAAUGUGGCUGGAGCGGCCAGCUGGGCACGAUCUGCCGAAUGAAGAAGCUCAUUACCCACCGGGUGCAAAGCAGCAGCUCCCGUGUGGAGGGGAGGUCAAGCAGAGCUCUGCACCCUACCAGUUUUGUAAUAGGAGAACACACUGACCUGGCCCGUGAUACUAAUCGCCUGACUCGUGAACAAGCCCACCUAGCACCUGGCCCAGUCGUCCCUCAGGAGCUCAAGUGGGACCACCUGGAUCAGCUGGCAAAGAAACCAUAAAAGGAUCGCGGCAAUCUCCUUCAUGACGCGAUCUUCUCGGUUGGUUGGUUUGUUUGUUUUUGUAGGGGUUUGUUCUGUGUGCAGGUGUACCGCCUCUUUUUCCUUCUAAGCACUUUUUUUCUCGUUGGUCAUUUUUUGGAGGUGCUUCUUUUCCAUUUCUUAUUUUGCUUUAAGUAAAUGUUAAUGUACUUUCACCAAUUGUUUGUUGCAAUUCAUUAGAUGGAAUAAGAAUUUGAAAAUUACUUCUGGUACCCACAAUACCCCGAAAUACUACCACUUAAGACCUCAACAGUCUUUCAAUAUAAUCAAAUUUAAAACUUUCUAAUUGAGCUAAGAAACAGAAUCUGCUUUGAUUUAUAUUUUUUAAUCUAAACUUCUUGUGACCAUUUCUAUAGCAAUGGGGGGGGUGUUUUAUUUUUGGUUAAAAUAUCCGCAAAGAGAAAAGUUUCAGAUAUAACCCUAUUAAUAGACUCUUAUGAAUAAGAAAUCAAAGAGGGAGAUAAAAAUAAUGAAUAUGAUAAUCUUACCUUUGGACCUGCUGCUUCUCUGACUUGCUGGUGUAGAGAACUCCAUUUCUUUUAGAUUUUAGUUUUGAAUGUAGGAAUACCUAAUUUACUAGAUUAAAUGAUAAGGAGUGUCUGCUUCAAUUUGUCACCUUUCCCUACUGGGUUGCAUUGAACGAACCUAAAAUUAAGGUCCAUUCUACCAAGAGAGUCAAAAUUUCUGAGGAAACGAGGGCUGUGAAAGUGAAACCACUUGGUGUAUGUGCCACGGUCACCUCUGUAAAUACUCAGCUUCCCUCCAUCUAAAUUCUAAACCGAGUGUAGAAAUGGCUCAAUUGAUAUCUUCACAAAUAUUUCCCUGAUGAGGAUAAAGCUAGGAAUUCCUGAUAAGCAUAUGGAAGCACUUUAGAGUCGUGAUGGGCUGUUCAACAGUGGAAGUUUAAGACCAAGAAGAGGACUCAAACACAUGGACUCCUGUGCUCAAGUCAGUUUCAGAUUGCAAAUGAGCAGUCAUCUGAAUUCCCAACACUCUGCAUUAGGAGGAUUACUGCCCCAGGAAUUGGCAGUCAGGGAAUGGGAAAUAAAAAAUCAUCAGCAGGUAGUUUUACCUAAGGAUUUUAUAUGGGGUAAUGUUAAAGACACUUCAUGGUUAUAGACUUAACACCGAGAACUGUACCUGUUUGUUGGAAUGUACGCUUGAAUGAAUGUAUUGCCUACAUCAAUCAACAUUGUGAUAUACUCAGUUUAACUUGUUUUUGUACAUAAUUAAAUUGAAUUUAAAGCUUACAGUCACUUUGUAAUGUAGAUAUUGUGCUACCAUUAUACGGAUGAGUCUCAGGUUAUGCAUCUUGCCCAAGCAAGAGACUGAGCUGUGUCUAAAAGUUAGAUAGCUAUGUUCAGUCAUCCUGCCUUCUCCUCACCUUAGAAUCAAGAACAAAUAAGGGACUACUUUUUAGUGGCCCUGAUGACAACAAAAUUAAACUGUGAUGUGUUUGUUCAUGCAUUUAGGCAUUAAAUAUCUACUAAGUGCCUACUAGUGUAUGCCAAGGACAUUGUCAGAUUCUCAAAUGAUGUAGACAAAGACAUGAGUUCUUGUCCCAAAAGAGUUAUACAAAUUGAUAAUCAUCAUACCGAAUGCUGAGCAGUGUUUGAGACAGAUGCACUGUGGGCAGGUAUGAGAGGAAAUCUGUAUCCUUCUCCUUCAGAUUUGUCAAACAAAGGAUAUGAAUUAAGGUGGUGGACAGUUGAAAGUACUGGGUACAUUCUUAGGCAGAGAUUUCAUUGCUAUUAUCACAUGAUAAUAUCUAUCUUUAUGUAUUGUGCACUUUGCCUCAGACACAUUUGUUAUUUCCAAUUUUGGAAAACUGUCAUUCAUCCCCUGUCCAGGUUAAAAACUUUGAUUUUAUUUAAAGUUAAAAAUUCUGUAUUAGUGCCAGAGAUGAUAGUGGCAUAGUGUGAAGUUCUGAGUUUCUGAUACCAAAAAAAUUGUGCUAAAACUCUCUGUUCUUAGACAUUUUAUUUUCUAACCUUGUGAUCAUUUUUGUUGUUAUUACAAUAUCUGUCACAUUUACAUUAACUUUUUGAAACAAAUUAGCAUUUCUUAAAAGGCGAUGGGAUAACUUUAUACAACACAAAAGAAUUUCCUAGUAUUCUAUUCCUGUCUCUGUAUCCCAGAAUGAGAAGGGCUUCUACUUGCAACUCUUGAGUCACAUGGAAAAUUCUCAAUGCCACAUGAGUCUAUUACACUGAGUGCAAUUAAUUUUUCUUUUCCUUUCUUCUUUUAAUUACUAGCAUCUAAUUUCACCUCCGGGAAUUUAAUUUUUCCUAUUUUUAUAUGAUCCCAUAUGCUAUAUAUAAAUUCAUUUUUUAAGAAAAUUAAAAGUAUUUUAGUAGAAGCUAACAAAAGCAAACACACACAAAGGAAAUGCAGAUUCUAAACAUGUAGCUAAUUCAAAUUUACUUUCUUUUUAUUUACAGUAAACGACCAAAAACUUUUGUCUGUUUAUACCAAAACGUCUUUCCUGAUUCCUGGAUCUGGUUGUGCAUUUCCUGCCAUGACCAGUAUAAAAUAAAGAGUUUAUUGUUCUAAAAAAUUAUAAAACUCGUUUGAAAAAUAGCUAAAUUAUGAUGCAACUGUCAGCAAAACACAAGGGAACUUUUUUGUAGCUGUAAGAGUUGGCUAGAAGUAAAGAAAUGUUACUAUUCAACUCUUUUCUUAGGUCUAAUUGCAGUUCACUAAAACUUUUGCUAGAAAAGAGAAGACUAUGAUUAAAAUAGUAUAUAUAGUAGUCAUGAUUUUGUGCCACUUUGGUGCUAUUUGUUAGAGCUGUUGGAUGGAAGGAUAUUGACAGUAGCUAAACUUUCUGUAUCCCAAUAUUUAAUCAUUUUGUCAUUACAGGUCAAUUUAAUCAUAGAUAAGUAACUGUCAAGGAUAUGUAUCAAAAAAUUAAAGUCAAGCAUAGCACUGUCCAAUACAAACAUAAUAUAAGCUACAUAUAUGAUUUUAAAUUUAAUAGUCACAUUAAAAAUAGAUGAUCAAAUCAAUUCUAAUUCAUUUUACUUAAAACUUCCAAAAUACUGUUAUUUUAGAUGUGUUAUUAAUUCUAAUAAAAGAGAUACUUUUACAUUCUUUUAUGCAUGCUAUAUUUUAAAAAUUUUGUCUAUUUUUGCAUUUAUGGAGCCUCUCAUUUGGCACCAGCCAACAGUCCUGCAAGAGCUGAAUGUGCAGGCAUGACUAGUGGCCCCUGCAUACUAUGAUGCAGCUUUCAAGGUUGGAUUAGAUUGUUUUGUUUUGUCUGACAUUGACCAAUUUCAGUUGUGUGUCUUGCUGAUCACAUUAGUAAAUUAAGACCGCAUAAGAAAACAUAUGGCUAAAUAACACAAGUAUGCUAUGUCCAUACUGACUUUUGCAUGUGCAUCAUAAAAACAAGCUGAGAAUUAAACCUUUUUGUUUUAUCUGAGCUUUCUUUACAAUAAUAUAAUUUCUAAACAUAAUCUGAAAAAAGAAGCAGAGAAUUUUCCAGUUUUCACUGUUUCAAAUGCAUUUCAACUCAAAGGAAAGAUUUCAGUGAUAUUGCUUUAUUCAAAGAUAACUGCUUUUGUUUUGUAAUUAAUGUCAGCAAAUACAUAACUCCGAAUAGUCACCACCUUGCAAAGACAAACUAAAGGGUCAUAACCUAUGUAUAGUUCACCCCCCAGUGCUUUGAAAAUCUGAGCCUCUGGCAGCCUAGCCCUGCCUGGAAGAUUGUGAAGUGCUGUGGCAAUGGUCCCCAAAAAUCAAAAGACUGAGGUCAAACUCCGUGUCACUCAGUUGGACAGUUGGGUAAUCUUGGAGACUUAUAUAGUCUCAUCUCUGAAAUAAAGGACACAUUACCUUUGUCAUUGGUAUAUAAUGGAGAUUAUAUUGGAUCAGGCAGGAGAAAAAUUCCUGUCCCACAGUGAAUACUCGGUAAAUGCUCACUAUUUCAGACAUUAGAUAAGCAAGAAAUGGCACAAAUUAUUGUGUAAACUUCUUGCCUUUUACAUAGCAGUGAUUUUCUCUAUUACACAUUUGAUCUAUCUAGGUUUUCCCGAGUCAACAUCACAUGAUCUAAAAUCAGUUGAUGUUAUGUUCUGUAAAGCAGAAGAAAAUUUUUACUGGGGCAGUGAAGAUUAUUCUUUUUAAACAAUCUGUUUGUUUAUGUUGAUCAUGUAACUUCUUGAUCAGUUCUUGGUAAAAUUCUAGGAAGAAGUACCACCAGAGGCUUUCACUGCUUUCUUAAUCAAUAUCAAUAUAAUUAAAAAUACAGUCCUCUAACAUCACAGCUCUCAAGCUGUCAGACUUUGCCACCUCUUUAACUAACCAACAAAUUGUAACUCCACCUGGGCCAUAUAGCUCAUCUGUGUCUGUUUAACAAGGGAAACAUGUUUUUCUCAAAGAUUUUAUUCUGGUAAUCAAUACAAUGUGACAUCACGUGAAAAACCACACACAUUGGGGGAAAAAACCAGACACGGUGAACUUCCAUUGGCCAAGGCUGUGAUUAUACUAAAUUAUAGCAAAGCAAUCUCUGAAAUUUCACAUACACGGCCUAGAACACUGGGGGCAACCGUAUAGCAUAUGUGUUAUUUUUCUUUUCAGACAAAAGUUGCUAAUGCAUGAGUUGUUCUUUUCUAAAUGAAAACCUAGUAUUCAAUUUUAAUCAUAGUGUUGGCACUUUGCAUUAAAUAAGUGAGUUUGGGGUUGCAGUUGGGCAUGCAUCCCUAAAAGUUCAACAUCACUGGCCUCGAGCUUGUGCUUCUUCUGCAAUGGUCACACUUUUCACUUUCGGUGUUAGAGAUAAUCAACAAGAGGUGCUUAUCAUCAUAACAGGUAUGUAGAAAGUUCCUGAUAAAUGUUAUUCACUGCAGGCAUAUGCGUACAAUGGAUUUUCAUAAAAAGGAUGUAUUCUGCUGAUUGGAUUUUUUAUGUAUCACAGGAGUUGUUGGAGACAGGCAGUAGCAUCCGAACCUUUCUGUAGAUAUCUAUUGUCACAACCAACUGGAGUUAUCAUCUCCCUGCAAAACUGGAAGAAAUUAAAAAACGGCAACAGUAGAAGGUCUUGCUUGCAGCUUAUGGAGCUUUUGUGAGUUUCUGAAGUCUGCACCCCAUAUUAAGAUACAAAUGAAAACCCUUAGAAUUUCAGUAAGUCUAGUGUUUUGAAUUUGUUUAUAAAAAUGGUAUGCAAUAAUCCUAUAAUUCUGAAGUUAAAGAAACAGACUGAAAAAAGAAGCAACAGGAAAAGAUACUCUGAGUAUUCAUCUUUUCUGGUUUCAGAACCUAAGAAGCCUACAGAGAAUGGGUGCAUUUGGAUAACCCGGAAGUGCUGUUGCUGACUUGGAAGGUUUAUGUUGUCAUGUUUCACUGGUUAAUAUGUCACCAUAAUUUAUGCCAUUAGAUUUCUUUUCUUAAAGAUUAACCACUUGGGCCCGGGUAUUUAGCUCAGCGGCAUAAGCGCCUGCCUUGCAAGUGUGUGGUCGUGAGUUCGAUCCCUGGUACCAAUAAAAAAGAAAAAGAUUAACCACUUACGAAUAUCCCUGAGAAUCAGUAGAAUAGCACAUUUGUUUGUACUAUCCUAAGUGUCGGUGAAGUAGGUGUCAUUUUAACCAGACAAUUCUUACAAUGAAUAAAUUCGAAAAACUUGUCAUUUUUUAUAUUUUCUGUUAUAUUAUUUUAUAAAAAUUGAUUAAAAAACUAAUCAAUUGUUGGUCAUCCUGUACUUAAAUAAUUGGAAUCAUAAGUGGUUAAACAAAAGAAUGUAGUAACAACUCACCCAGAGUUAGAGUCUAAUGUCAAGGCUCAUAUUGAAAGUGCACCUUUGAUCUUUUAGAUGUAAUUCUAUGUCUUCAAGGGAAAAUAAACGUUAUAAAAUGUA